UACGAAGGUGACUAGCGUUGUUCGGAAUCAUUGGGCGUAAAGCGCACGUAGGCGGGUUUGAAAGUCGAUUGUGAAAACCCUGGGCUCAACCCGGGACCUGCAGUCGAAACUUCAAGUCUUGAAUGCUCGAGAGGAUGGUGGAAUUCCAGGAGUAGAAGUGAAAUUCGUAGAUAUCUGGAGGAACACCGGAGGCGAAAGCGGCCAUCUGGCGAGACAUUGACGCUAAGGUGCGAAAGCGUGGGGAUCAAACAGG
RNAcentral lists this ribosomal RNA (253 nucleotides) under uncultured bacterium. Its description in RNAcentral is "partial 16S ribosomal RNA". It matches the Rfam family "Bacterial small subunit ribosomal RNA", at positions 524 to 776 of the family's 1533-position model. The record is from RNAcentral.